UGGCUUUUUGUAUAAAUACUGAAAUUUUAGAUGGAGAAGAAGAAGAUUUGGUACCUGCUUGCCAGAAAGGAGAGUGUCUUCGAAGCAGUUAUUUAACAUUCUAACAGCGUGCAGAAAGACAACUGGAAAUCUUGAUAUACACGAGAUGCUAAAAGCACUUUAGCUGCGCCCCCAGUCCUGCUGACCUUGCCGGAAGGUUGGGAGCUUCGCGUCAAGACAGAGAACUGUCGUUCAAUGCCUUAGGCACGGGAGCCUGAGUAUUUCAUCCUUCUCCCCAGUCCAUCC
Molecule: long non-coding RNA, 285 nt
Organism: Nothoprocta perdicaria
Lineage: Eukaryota; Metazoa; Chordata; Aves; Tinamiformes; Tinamidae
Exons: 3
Source: RefSeq, a predicted model, not a curated record